UUUUGAACCAUUUCCCAACAGAUUUUAAAUGUUGGGGAAUGGCAUGGAAUGAAUUCCAGCAAUGGAAUACUUGGGAACUGUGCUUAACCUAUUUGGAGAUUCAGAAAUUGAUUGUUUCAUAAUUUGUCUGUUUGUUUUGUCUAUUGCUGGAAAUGUUCACGGAAUAGAGAGUGGAGAAAGGGCUCACUCAUUCGUGACUUGAGAAGCCAGACAACAGGCUCACAGACUUGCUCUAUAAACAUGUGGGAGAAAGAGCUGGCAGAAAGGAGCCUCACUGUCUGUUCCUGAAGAUCCCAGGGCAUAGGACGGCAGAAGUUGUUACAGAGGUAUUGGCUUAGGCAGGCAAGGAGAGCAACCAAGUAGGCAAGAGCUGAGAGCUAAGCUGGGGUCCUGACUUGUCACCCAGGGUUAGGCGAGAGAGGAAGUCACAACUAUGGAGCCAAGUCAGUGCUGGGAGGGCAGGCAGGCAGGAAUGGCUGC
RNAcentral lists this long non-coding RNA (480 nucleotides) under Homo sapiens (human). Its description in RNAcentral is "HSALNT0119804". The record is from RNAcentral. Lineage: Eukaryota; Metazoa; Chordata; Mammalia; Primates; Hominidae.